ACGCUCGACACCUACGGGAGGCAGCAGUCGGGAAUAUUGCGCAAUGGAGGAAACUCUGACGCAGUGACGCCGCGUAUGGGAAGAAGGUUUUCGGAUUGUAAACCAUUUUAGACAGGGAAGAAAAAAGACAGUACCUGUAGAAUAAGCUCCGGCUAACUACGUGCCACAGCCGCGGUAAUCUGAGGCGGGCUGGCAAGGC
RNAcentral lists this ribosomal RNA (199 nucleotides) under uncultured bacterium. RNAcentral's name for it is "partial 16S ribosomal RNA". It matches the Rfam family "Bacterial small subunit ribosomal RNA", at positions 328 to 539 of the family's 1533-position model. The record is from RNAcentral.